RNAcentral lists this long non-coding RNA (357 nucleotides) under Gigantopelta aegis. RNAcentral's name for it is "uncharacterized LOC121370669, transcript variant X2". The record is from RNAcentral. Lineage: Eukaryota; Metazoa; Mollusca; Gastropoda; Neomphalida; Peltospiridae.
AGUAUCGAUGAUUUUGAUUUCGAACGUCUGUUCGAUGAAUUAAGCGAAGAAGAAUUUACCUGCCCACCCCUCUCGCUCCCUCAAGCGUCACCACUACCGUCGUCUCCAGCAGUCCUGACGCCACCACGAGCGCCAUGGAUAGUGAUGAUGACGACGUGUUUAUCUACACGCCCUCCACCAUCGUCGCUUCCGGCAGCCCUGUCGCCACCACAAGCGCCACCGUCGCCAACCCUAUAUUAAGGUCUAUUUUGAAGACCCCCUAUAUGGGCAGACAGGAACAAAAACGAGUUCUUGCAAUGAUCAUCAGGUCAUUGCAAGAGUUUCACGAUACACUGUAAAUAAAAAAAUAAAAUAAAA